RNAcentral lists this ribosomal RNA (254 nucleotides) under uncultured bacterium. Its description in RNAcentral is "partial 16S ribosomal RNA". It matches the Rfam family "Bacterial small subunit ribosomal RNA", at positions 524 to 776 of the family's 1533-position model. The record is from RNAcentral.
UACGGGGGGAGCAAGCGUUGUUCGGAUUUACUGGGCGUAAAGGGCGCGUAGGCGGCCACCGCAGGUCGACUGUGAAAUCUCCGGGCUUAACCCGGAAAGGUCAGCCGAUACUGCGGGGCUAGAGUGCAGAAGGGGCAACUGGAAUUCUCGGUGUAGCGGUGAAAUGCGUAGAUAUCGAGAGGAACACCUGCGGCGAAGGCGGGUUGCUGGGCUGACACUGACGCUGAGGCGCGACAGCGUGGGGAGCAAACAGG